RNAcentral lists this unclassified non-coding RNA (265 nucleotides) under uncultured Hypocreales. Its description in RNAcentral is "sequence contains ITS2". Lineage: Eukaryota; Fungi; Ascomycota; Sordariomycetes; Hypocreales. The record is from RNAcentral.
AACGCACAUUGCGCCCGCUGGAACUCCGGCGGGCAUGCCUGUCCGAGCGUCAUUUCAACCCUCAGGCCCCCCUUCCGGGGGCGGGCCUGGUGUUGGGGACCGGCCGCCUCCUCUGGCGGCCGACCCCUAAAUUCAGUGGCGGCCGCGCCGCGAGCCCUUGCGUAGUAAACUAACCUCGCACCGGUGAGCGGAGCGGUCCACGCCGUGAAACCCCCAAAUUUCAAUGGUUGACCUCGGAUCAGGUAGGAAUACCCGCUGAACUUAA